Pogona vitticeps (central bearded dragon) is the source of this 894-nucleotide non-coding RNA. Lineage: Eukaryota; Metazoa; Chordata; Lepidosauria; Squamata; Agamidae. The record is from RefSeq and is a predicted model, not a curated record.
GGGACUUACCUGGGAAGUGGUUGAAAGGUAAUGCCUUGAAGCAAAUCCCCUUGACCUCCUCCUAAGGGUCCACCACAGAAAAGAGGUGGGUUUUUUAGGACUUGCUCACAGCCAUUGUGUAGCAGCUUAACCCCUUUCUCUUAUCUGGCUGAUGAGAAUUCUGUUCUCUAUAUGGAGGACAGUUGGGAAAUGCUUUUCUAUUCUGCAUGUGCUAACCCUGUUUUCACUCUUAUCUCUGCUGUUCUACACUUGAUGUUUGUAAUGGGAUGCUCCCUCUGGCAUACAUUCAUCCUGCUGCUUAUACUCUGCUUCUGAUCUGGACAACUGAUCAGGGAGUGUUCAGCUAAUAGUGCUAACAGAUGGAAUGGAAUGGACUGAUGUUCACCUUCUCUGACCUUUUGUGUGAUCUUCCUUUGAAGGCAACCAGGUGGCCCUCCAACACUUGCCAAGGAUGAUUCUCUUCCACACCAGCUUCACUGAGGCCUAGAAGAGCAACAACCAGUUGAAAUCUAGAUGUUCUUCUGUAACAAGAGUAGAGAAUAUAUGGCUUUCCAGGUGUUGAAGCAUAACACUCAUCCAACACUCUAGGCAUGGCAGCCAAUGAUGAAAUUUAAUCGGAGUUCAAGAAAAAUUGGACUGCUGUCCAACAUACAGUUGUGUUUUGUAGGGAUGCCGCUUUCUGGGCUCCUAUGGUUUUUCAGAAGGCAUGGCAGAAGGCAAAGUAACAGUUUUAGCAAUACCUGGUAUGCAUGUGGAGCACUUUCUGUUGUUAUACAUUUUUCUCAGGCCAAGGGGCCCUGCAAGAACAAAAUGGUUGGUAUGCCAGUUCUUUGGCAUUGUGCCCAGAUUGCGCUCCAUCCGUUAUAUUAUUCUAUAAAAGAAACUUCAACUAUU